GGUGAGGUACUCAAGUGGCCGAAGAGGCGGGUUUGCUAAACCUGUAGGGCGCAGCUUCACUGCGCCGCGAGGGUUCGAAUCCCUCCCUCACCGCCA
Molecule: transfer RNA, 96 nt
Filed under: bacterium
Lineage: Bacteria
Description: tRNA-Ser
Rfam family: tRNA
About the family: Transfer RNA (tRNA) molecules are approximately 80 nucleotides in length.
Source: RNAcentral